This 7447-nucleotide long non-coding RNA is filed under the name Brassica napus (rape). RNAcentral's name for it is "long non-coding RNA (BNAP_LNC024207)". Lineage: Eukaryota; Viridiplantae; Streptophyta; Magnoliopsida; Brassicales; Brassicaceae. The record is from RNAcentral.
GGCAGAUCAUAGAUUGGAAGGACUUCUUCGGAGAUGGUUUGAGGUUUUUGAUUGAGUUUGGAGCAUGGAGCUUGUUGGAGAAUGGAGCUAUUAACACAAAUUUUCUUUUCUUCCUACAGAUAUAUAUAUAAGAACCAUUAAUAUUUUUUAGGUUUCAUUCUUUGUAAAUCCUUCUAGUUGAUGAUCAAUAAAUUCAAAAUUUCAUAAAAAAAAAUCAUAAAGGGUAAGAAAGACUUUAACCAAGCUCUAACUUAUAAUUUGGGAUCUCGAAUGCGAGAAAUCACUUCACAAAUCUAAAAAAAAAUCAUCGUUAAUAUUCUUUAGAGUAAGCCGAUCACUAUAUUGAUAAUGCCAUAUCUACCAGUUCAUAAAAUUAUAUUUCAAAAACUAAAUCAAAAUCUUUAGGGGGGCCUAUAUAAAACUGCGAUCAAAAUUUUUAGGAUAUUCUUUGUUCUCUUAUUUUCUUUUGUAUGAAUUAACUAAUAAAGAAAUACAAUUCAUAUAACAAAAUCUUAGUCUAUUUUACAUAUCUUUAAUAUUUGAAUGGUUUAGGAGAUAAACUUUAAAUAAUAUGUCGAGUAUUUUCAAUGGUAAAUAAUUGAUAAAACUUAUAAUAAUAUGUCGAGUAUUUUCUAUAGGAAAUAAUUUACAUUGGUUCUAAGGAUUGAAAGUUUUCAGUUAUUGGUAGAUUUUAGGACCUUCCAAAUCUUAUAGGGGUACGUAUUUUAUGUUCUUGAUCCUGUUUUCCCAAGAGUCUUUAAGUGCUAUUUUCUUCGGCUUAGAUUUUAACCAAAGUAAACCAACUCUGUCUUUUGAUUUUGGCUUGCACUGCAUUGAAAAUGGGUCUAAACCGGCUAGAAAUGAAAGUUGCAUUGAGCUUGUGAAUAAUAACAUUGUGGGUUUCGAAAGAUGUUAAAAAGUCUAAACCGUUUGCGCAAAUUACACUUUAGAAGCUAAACUAACAAUUAACCAAAUAUAUCACUAUUCUUAUGAAAUAUAGACAUUGAAAAUAAGCUUUUGGUUGAUAUCCAAAGCAUUUUCAAGAGGAAGUAUCAUAAAAUAUUAAAAAUAGAAAUCAAACGCAAACACUUUUUCAUAAAUUAAUGACCAUACAUUUUUUUUGGUUAUGAAAUGGAAUGUUCUAACUAUUAACAUUAAAAUUUACUUAAGAAUUUAAUAAAUUAAUUUGCUUGGAUAAUCAAUUUGUUUCUUUUGAUAUAAUGUGAUCUUCAAUAUUUUGAAUAAUUAAUUAUUUGCUUACAUUAUUUACAAAUUGAUUACUUAUGUCACAUGUUUACAAUCGUAUCUUGUCACAUGCUUACAAUCGUAUCAUGUCACAAGUUUAAAAUCGUAUCACAAAACAAAUUUAACAAGCUUUAAAAAAAUGAUAUGUUUUUAACAAAACAUGAUAAGUCAUAUUAUUUUAAUAAUUUUCAUUUUCUAGUACAAUAAUUCUUGCAAAACCUCGCUAUAGACACAUGAACUCCUUAGUUAAUUGUUUUUAAUUAGUUAAAUUAAUAAAGGAAAUCACAGUCCUCAAAAUAUUAAUUAAACUAAAAUUAAUUAAAUUAAUUAACUAGUAUUUUCAAAAUAUUAGUUUUGCUUAUUAGUUUUAGUUAAUUAAAUAACUGAAAACAUCUUACAAAAUAACUACUUAAAAUGCUUAAAGCUUGCUAACUAAAAAUAAGUAUAUUAUUUAAUAUUACUAAAUUUUGUUUUAAUUAGUUAAGGAGAUAAUUUAAAUCAUAUUCUUAGCAAUAAAAAACUAAUUAAAGCUUUAUUAUUUAAUUAAUUAAUAUUUCUAAUAUUUGUUUUAGUUUUUAGCUUAAAUUAAUUAUGAAAAUCAUAUGUGUCUUGAAAUUUUGUAGGGAUUUGGUUUUUAAAAAUAACAUUCUUAAAAAAUUAUGACAUACCAUCUUUUAAAACAAUAUGCCACUUCCAACAACAUAUGUCAUAUUUCUUGUCGUUUGUUUUAUGUGUUUUGAACCUUGCGCCCAUGCAAGAAAUUUUAAUUCUCCGGGCAUCGAAAAUGUCAAUCCAUUCACAUCAACAAUGAAAGUCGCAGAAGAAAACAUUAAGAAGAAUGUUCCUAAAAGAGAAAAUGGUUAUACAACGGCUAGUAUAAUCAAUGGAAAUUAUGCAAGUGGACCCGAUCCGAGUGGAAGAGGACAUGGUAGACCGCCAACUCCACCACACCAUUGAAAAACAAUCGUUUGAACUGUACAUGGUGGAUAUAAUGUGAAUUAGAUAAUAAUAAUUAAUAAUUAAUAAAAAGUUGUGAAAGUUGGAUUUUGUUCAUAUAUAAUGAAAUCAAAUAAUAAACCAACUGAAAAUAAAGAAAACAAAUAAUACAUUUAACAAUAGAAAUUAUUAUGUAUAUUUUAUAGUUAUACAGAAAAUGCAAACAUCAAAAUUUAAUUUGAACCAAACGAAAAUUAAGAUUAUCAAAAUUGAUCAGAUUUGGAUUAGUUGUUUUUUUCCCUCUCAAACUCAAUCAACCUGAAAUUAAUAUCAACCCAUUUUUAAAUUAAAACAAGGUUUAAAAACUUUUUCACUAGUCAAUAUAAAAUACCUAUAUUUUAAUAUUUUAAUAAAAAUAAUUAUGUUAAACUAGAAAUGAUUGGAAAAGGCAAAUCGAUUGCGAAAAAAAUAUAAAUAAUAUCCGUGGACAAAAUUAGAACACCAUAUGCAAACUUGUUCAUCAUUGUAUUUUUUUCUUGAUAUAUGUUGAAUCACAAAUCUUAGAAAAAUCAUCGCUAAAAUUCUUCAGAGUAAGCCGAUCAGAAAAGUCUAUUGCAAAAACUAAAUCAAAAUCUUUAGGGGGGCCCUAUAUAUAAAAUUGCAAUCAAUUAUUUAACGAUAUUUUUUGUUCUUUUAGUUUCUUUUGUAUAAAUCCUCUAAACAUUAUUUGCAAAGUGAUUUUGACACAUGUCUUCUCUACAAUCAUUUUAAUCAAAUAAAUAUGACGUGGCAUGCUACAAUUAUGACAUGACUUAUGAUUAAAUGUGACAUGAACAAUUACAUUGAAUGCUUAUUUAUAUUUUUGUAAACUCUUUAGAAUAUAUGGUAGUAAAUUAUACACUAUCAUUAAAGUAAAUCUAUUAAAGUAUGAUAUUAAAUUAUAUAACAAUAAAAUUAUAAUUAUAUUUUAUAAAUUCUGAAAUAUUAUUUAUUUCUAAUUUUGAAUAAUUAUACAAUUUAUAACUAAAAAGAAUUCCAAAAUCUUUUACAAUUUUUUUUUUAAAUUAUAAUUUUUUUUUUAUCGUAAUAUUAUUAGUUUCUAUUAUAUAUCAUUUUACUAUUGAUAAUUAUAAAACUUGUAUAUCAUUUUUAUUAAUUUUAUACAAUUUAAUUUAAUAUAUUUUAUCCAAAAGAAAUAGAUAAAAUUCUAUUUCAUAUUAUUAUUUUAAAUAUAUACAUAUCUAUUCUUAGAUAUAAUUUAAAAUAAACAAAAUUAUUUAUUUUAACUUAAUUUUGUGUUCGGUUGAAAUAUUAUUAAGACAUAAUAAAAUUUAAAAAAUAAUAAACUUUAUUUUAAAAAUAAUUUUAAUUUAAAAUUUUUAUUCCUGCACAUUGGUGCUUUUAAACAGUAUAAACUUUAAUAAUUUAAUUUUAUCUUAACUAAUAAAGAAAUACAAUUCAUAUAACAAAAUUAUAGUCUAUUUUACAUAUCUUUAAUAUUUGAAUGGUUUAGGAGAUAAACUUUAAAUAAUAUAACUAGUAGUGUUUCUCUUCUUCCUCUACAAAUUAGCCCCUAAAGGGUUAUUAGACCCUUUUGGAGAUUUUAAAUAGAGGUUUUGGUUUUCACAUGCGAUGAGAUUGCGAUGCCGAAGGCGACUUAGAUCUAGGGUUUCGAUGCGGUUUCGGGGAUGGGAUGUGGGGAGACUAAGGGAUGGAUUGGAGCGGGUUUUUCCUGAUCUUCACCAGGAUAAUGGUUUUGGAAAGCAAAGGAAUGGGAACGGCGAUCUACAGCGAGAAGAUCGAACAAGAUUCAUGGGUUUUAAUGGAAACAGUGGAUUACUCGGGCCUGGGUUUUAGGGCGUUUUACGGAUAGAAUCGAUCUAUGGUUAUCUCAGGUCUCCAAUUGGUGAUCUCCCAGAUUUUCAAGGUAUGAUUUGGUGUCUAUUCUUUAGGAGAUCGUUUUGGAUUGGCUGGGGGUUUCCACAAAGGAAUCACCGAUAUUUGAGAAUUGAUGAUUGGAAAGCCAGGAUUUGGUUUCUUAUUCUCAUCAGAAUCAACGAGAUGUUCGAAGAUUUCUCAGAUGAAUUUCAAGAUCUCUCGGAAGGUGAGAUCGAGGAAAAGGACAAGGAAUGCAUUAAGAUACUGUCUGGUGAAGAUUUCUUAAGUGAGAAUGCUGAGGAAGAUAACCAGAUUGGAGAUAAGGAAGAUAAAGGCCCAGUUACGCUGGAAAUGGACAAAGAGCAGGGGGCUAGGAUGAUGCUGUUUAAGAGCCAGAAUGUAGCAGGUGGAACCAUGAAGAAGAGAAUGGUACAAGGGCUAGUAUCUCCUCGCAAACGUCCUUCGGCUAAAGCGGGUAUCCGACAAGGUGAUGGUUUUAAAAAGGUAGAAGAGACGGUCCCUCAAACCCUUUACCGAGCUCAUCAAAACCCUGAUUUUAUGGAUCGAUCCUUUGAAGAAGAGAAGCUAUGGUGGCAGAUACUGAGAGAGCAGAUGUCCAGAGGCUAUUACCGUUGGUUUCGAUCGGUCUGUUUGGUCAUCAGAAGAUACAUGGAAAAGCUGAAAUACUGGUCUUCAGUGGAGGAAAAUAUUUUUCUCUUGGCCUCAUUAAGCCACAAGUGAAGUCAAACCUUGUUCCUAUAUUGGAAUAAUAAAAAUGUAAGGUGUCCGAAUGGUGAAUGGGAGUUUAAUUGUGGUGUCUCAUUGGUCACAAUUAAUUACCAAAGGAAAGACAGAGAGUGUCGAGGAUAUGGGGUGAAUAAUCAGACUCAGGGGUACGUGAGUCUCACGUCAAAAUUAAUGAUGGUUUAUAAAUGUUUUGGACACUUAUGGUUUCUUCGUAUCCAGCUGUAUUGCUCAACAUAGCUAAUCAGUAUAAAUUUGAGGCGGCUUCUCUGCUGGAAUAAUAGAUGUAUGGGUCGUAAAUGGACGAUAAUUUAUCUUAGGGAGAUCUGGUACAAACAUAAACCAGACUUUUUAUAUUUAUCAGAAACGGAAAAAGAUACAACUUUUGUUGCUUUUUAUGCUUCUUGUAUCUCUCUUUGGAUAUGGUUGAUAUGGACUGUGAAAGACUUGGUAAUGUAUUGGUAUAUAUUUAGGUGGAGGGAGAGAUAUUGGUCUUUGGAUGACUUUGCAAGCAUAUCAAGUCUCCAUAUUAAUGCAGCCAAAUCGUCCUAAUAUGCACCAGGAAGUGGAAUAGCUAACGUAUGUGAGGAAGCUGAGAGAGCUGGAAUUGAAGUGGGACAGCUUCCGAUCAGAUACAUGGGUCUGCCAUUGACUUCAAAGGCUCUUUCUAAGGAGGAUUAUGAGCCUUUGAUAGAUAAAAUCAGAACUCGAAUUCUGUCGUGGACCAACAAGAGCUUAUCUUAUGCAGGGCGCUUGCAGCUUCUCAACUCAGUCAUCUCCAGCAUAGUGAGCUUCUGGAGCUCUGCUUUUAUAUAUUACCUAUGGCCUGUUUGGAUACAAUAGAGAGCCUCUGCAGUGCAUUUAUAUGGGCAGGAGAUCCUCAUCAGACCCAUAAGGCGAAAGUUAAAUGGGAAGACUUGUGUUAUCCAAAAUCAGAGGGAGGAUUGGGCAUUCGGAGACUGCAAGAUACUGUUAGAGUCUUUGCUCUUAGUCUGAUAUGGCAAUUUUUUAAUAUGUCAGACUCACUAUGGGUUUCAUGGGUUCAACAUUAUCUUUUGCAUCAUAGUUCAUUCUGGGAUGUUCGGGAAGAGACAACAGGUUCCUGGAUAUGGAGGAAACUCCUUAAGUUGUGUCCUCUGGCCUAUCAGUUCAUCAGGGUGGAAGUUGGUAAUGGUGAGAAAGCUUUCUUUUGGCAUGAUGAUUGGUUGCGAAUCAGGAAACUUAUUGAGUUAACAGGAGCAACUGGCACAAGGUAUCUAGGAAUAGUUCGUAGUGCUCGGGUGUGUGAUGCUGUGGCUCAAGGCCAAUGGAGAGUGAGGGGACAGAGAAGCCGGCAUUUCCAAGAUUUACAUGCCAAAAUACAAGCAGAACCGGUACCUAAUCAGUGCAUGGGAGAGGAUAGGUUUCUAUGGAGGCACGAAACAGAGGUUUAUAAGGACUCUUACUCAGCUUCAAGAACAUGGGAACAGCUUCGACGCAAGAAAGAAGAAGUGAAUUGGAGUAGUAGUGUGUGGUUCAAACAAGGUGUUCCUCGGUUUGCAUUUAUUGUGUUGCUUGCUAUUCAGAAUAGGCUCUCUACGGGAGACAGAAUGAGGCAGUGGAGAAUUCAGCAAGGUUGUGUCCUUUGUGGAGAGAGAGAUAAGACGCGCGAUCACUUGUUUUUCGCUUGUCCUUACUCUUAUACCGUCUGGGAUAGAGUCGUUGGCAAGCUUAUAGGACGGAGAAUCAAUCCUGACUGGUCUGAUAUGCUCAGAUAUAUUCGAAAUGGAGCAGCCAAUCUUAAGAAUCAGGUGCUCAUCAGUUUGCUCUUUCAAGUGGUGGUUUAUCAUAUCUGGCGUGAACGCAAUCUAAGGAGAAAUCAACAAGGCCAGAAGGGGACUGAGCUGAUGAUUAGUACAAUCAAUAAGACAGUAAAAAAUAGGAUCUCUUCUUUGGGUUAUGAGGCAGAUCAUAGAUUGGAAGGACUUCUUCGGAGAUGGUUCGAGGUUUUUGAUUGAGUUUGGAGCAUGGAGCUUGGACAAUGGAGCUAUUAACACAAAUUUUCUUUUCUUCCUACAUAUAGAUAUAAGAACCAUUAUUCCUUUUUAGGUUUCAUUCUUUGUAAAUCCUUUUAGUUGAUGAUCAAUAAAUCAAAAUUUCAUCAAAAAAAAAAAUAAUUCAUUAAGGAUAAGAAAGAGUUUAACCGCUUUAACUUAUGAUGUGGGAUCUCGAAUGCGAGAAAUCACUUCACAAAUAUAAAAAAAAAAUCAUCGUUAAUAUUCUUCAGAGUAAUCCGAUCACUAUAUUGAUAAUGCCAUAUCUACCAGUUCAGAAAAUUAUAUUUCAAAAACUAAAUCAAAAUCUUUAGGGGGGCCUAUAUAGAAAACUGCAAUCAAAUUUUUUAGGAUAUUCUUUGUUCUCUUAUUUUCUUUUGUAUGAAUUAACUAAUAAAGAAAUACAAUUCAUAAAACAAAAUCUUAGUCUAUUUUACAUAUCUUUAAUAUUUGAAUGGUUUAGGAGAUAAACUUUAAAUAAUAUGUCAAGUAUUUUCUAUAGUAAAUAAUUGAUAAGACUUAUAAUAAUAUGUCGAGUAUUUUCUAUAGGAAAUAAUUUACAUCUGGUUCUAAGGAUUGAAAGUUUUCAGUUAUUGGUAGAUUUUAGGACC